This 1463-nucleotide ribosomal RNA is filed under the name uncultured Bordetella sp. Its description in RNAcentral is "partial 16S-23S ribosomal RNA intergenic spacer". It matches the Rfam family "Bacterial small subunit ribosomal RNA". Lineage: Bacteria; Pseudomonadati; Pseudomonadota; Betaproteobacteria; Burkholderiales; Alcaligenaceae. The record is from RNAcentral.
UUCGAUCAUGGCUCAGAUUGAACGCUGGCGGUCACUUUACACAUGCAAGUCGAACGGCAGCACGGACUUCGGUCUGGUGGCGAGUGGCGAACGGGUGAGUAAUGGAUCGGAACGUGCCUAGUAGCGGGGAUAACUACGCGAAAGCGUAGCCUAAUACUGCAUACGCCCUUCAUGGGAAAGCAGGGGACCUUCGGGCCUCGCACUAUUAAACGGCCGAUAUCGGAUUAGCUAGUUGGUGGGGUAACGGCUCACCAAGGCGACGAUCCGUAGCUGGUUUGAAGGACGACCAACCAUGGGUUGAGACACGGCCCGAACUCCUGGGGAGAAGGCAGCAGUGGGGAAUUUUGGACAAUGGGGAAACCUGAUCAGCCAUCCCGCGUGUGCGAUGAAGGCCUUCAGGUUGUAAAGCACUUUUGGCAGGAAAGAAACGGCACGGGAUAAUACCCCGUGCAGCGGCAACCUGCAGAAUGGCUUCCGGCUAACUACGUGCCAGCAGCCGCGGUAAUACGUAGGGUGCAAGCGUUAAUCGGAAUUACUGGAAUAAAGCGUGCACGACCGGUUCGGAAAAAGAUGUGCGUCCCAGAGCUUAACUUUGGAACUGCAUUUUUAACUACCGGGCUAGAGUGUGUCAGAGGGAGGUGGAAUUCCGCGUGUAGCAGUGAAAUGCGUAGAUAUGCGGAGGAACACCGAUGGCGAAGGCAGCCUCCUGGGAUAACACUGACGCUCAUGCACGAAAGCGUAGGAGCAAACAGGAUUAGAUACCCUGGUAGUCCACGCCCUAAACGAUGUCAACUAGCUGUUGGGGCCUUCGGGCCUUGGUAGCGCAGCUAACGCGUGAAGUUAGCCGCUACCGGGGAGUACGGUCCUGCGUUAAAACUCAAAGGAAUUGACGGGGACCCGCACAAGCGGUGGACCGAUGGAUUAAUUCAGGUAACGCGAAAAACCUUACCUACCCUUGACAUGUCUGCGGAUCCCGAAGAGAUUUGGGAGUGCUCGCAAGAAGACAGACACAGGUGCUGCAUGGCUGUCGUCAUCGUGUCGUGAGAUGUUGGGUUAAGUCCCGCAACGAGCGCAACCCUUGUCAUUGGUUGCUACGAAGACGCCUCUAAUGAGACUGCCGGUGACAAACCGGAAGGUGGGGAUGACGUCAAGUCCUCAUGGCCCUUAUGGUGGGGGCUUCACGUCAUACAAUGGUCGGGACAGAGGGUCGCCAACCCGCGAGGAGCCAAUCCCAGAAACCCGAUCGUAGUCCGGAUCGCAGUCACACCUUCAAACUGCGUGAUCAGAAUCAUAGUAAUCGCGGAUCAGCAUAUGCUGGUGGGCCACGUUCCCGGGUCUUGUACACACCGCUUACACGUCACCACCAUGGGAAUUGGGUUUUACCAGAAGUAGUUAGCCUAACCCGUAAGGAGGGCGAUUACCACGGUAAGUUCAUGACUGGGGUGAGGUGUGGCACAAAGGUA